RNAcentral lists this long non-coding RNA (2671 nucleotides) under Solanum tuberosum (potato). RNAcentral's name for it is "long non-coding RNA (STUB_LNC005926)". The record is from RNAcentral. Lineage: Eukaryota; Viridiplantae; Streptophyta; Magnoliopsida; Solanales; Solanaceae.
UUUCAAUGUGUUUGUCGUCAUUGUGAUGCUACUAAGAUGGUCCAGCGAAUCCAGACAGAGCCAUUAACUUUUGAAGUUACCUAUGGGGAAAGUCACAGUUGUGGUCAAGAAAACAAAAACCGAAAUGAAGAACUACUAGUUGCUGUGGGAACUCAAGUUGGAAGAGCAGCAGGGAAACUAUCUGAAUGUUACAUUCCUGAGAUGGUUACCCCAAAUAAUUCUAAAACGAAAUAUCCAUCUGAUAUUACAUACGAUACUAUCCUACAGUUAUUCUCAGACCAACCAAGUUAUAUUCAUUUAUAAUCAAGUCAAUUUUAUUAACUCAAAGACAAAGUGACCAAAUCUCCAUUUACUGAAAUUGGAGUAGAACUUCUAAAUUAUAGAUGUUUGUACGUCCAUGAAUAUACAAGCUAAAGGUAGAUAUUCUUAAUUGGGAAAAGAAACUUGUAUUCCAAAAAGAGAAACUAUUUACAAGCGGCUACUCCUUUACUUUCACACCCCUCUAUUUUUAACUACUAAUUCACAUUUACAGUAUAUACCUUGAUGGUAUCAAAGAGGAAGAAAUAGUGAUUCAGUGAAAACAUUAUUCAAUUACUCCUUGAUACUAUUUGAGUAUAUAUAGCUCUGAUGGCUCAAUUACUGCUUGAUAUGAUAGAUAACAUUAUAGUAUAGAAGGUUCAAUAUCUCCCAUAAAGCAAAUUAUGAUGACUAAGAAGGGAGAUAAGGGUCUAUUUUGGUGAAAAGACAAAACAGUCCCUACAAAGGCCUUGAUAGUCAACUAAUGCAACAUGUGUUGACUCUAUCAAUAACUACAUACAUUUGUUAUGGACAGGGAGACUUGUAAACAAGUCUUCAAACUACUAAUUUAUAUACAACUAGCAAAUUACUUUUUCUCAAAUUCAUAUUCAGAUCUGUUUAUUGUUUUGGCUAUAGCUUUGUUUGAGCAUAGUCAGUCUGUUUGGUGACUCUGUAUAGCUGCGAAAAAAAUGGGAGAAAACAAUUUUUGGGAGAGAGAAAUAGUGAUUGCUGAGCUAACCAAGGGGAAGGAAUUGAUGUUGCAGCUGCAGAAGCACUUUGAUCCCAUGAAACAGUUAGUGUGCCAGUAUUUGGCUGUGGAAAUACUUUCUUCCUAUGAUAAAGCUAUGUCCCUCUUGAAUGGCACAGCUUUAUCAGGUAUGAUGAAGAGCAAAGGUAAAGAGAUUAUUCAUCCAGCACCGUCUUCAUCAACUGCGCCCCAGCUGGAAUCUCCUCAUCUUCUGGCUGACAGUAGCACAAAGAGUUGUGACCGUCCCUCUAACUACAGGAAGAGGUAUUCAAUCUCAUCCCUGUCUCUUUUUUUGUUUUGUUUUGUUCAACCAUCUGGUGUUCAGAACCUAUUUAUCGUCUAAUCGGAAUUCACAUAGAAAGUCCACCAUGGGAUUUUAGUGGUAUUUACCUAAUAGGACUACUUGUUCAGGACUCGAGACUCUGGUUAUAGUGAAAGAACUUUUCCUAUUCUACUUCAUCCCUUUAUGGUAUUUUCAUCCCUCACUUAUAACUGAAUUGGAGUACAAAAUUUAAUGUGAAUUGAAGUGAUACGUGCUACAUUAAGCUUAGAUCUUUAGAACAUUAAGAGUGUCGUGAAUCGCUUUAUAUCUUAGUGGUAUAUUGAAUGCUUUGAAAAAUCUAGAUUUCCUGGUCCUGAGAAGUGGUACCUAACUAGCCUCUCUCCACUUACUACAACAACAUAUCCGAAGGGUAAGAUGUAAGCAGACAUUACCCCUACCUCUAUGAGGUUGAGAUGAUGUUUUUGAUAGACCCUCGAUGCCAAAACUCUCUUAACUAGCUAUGGUUAAGUAAUAAAAUGAAGUAGGAUUAUAUAUGAAUGAACCUCGAUCAAGUGAUAAAAUGAGCAGAGACUUAUUGGUUUGAUGCUAGUACUUGGUGCCGAUAAAUACUUUUUCUCUAAUAAUGCUACAUGAUAGUAAUUAUAUUUGAAUAUGUAUGUUCUCCAAAGAGAAAGUUACCAAAUUGUAUGUAAACAAUUUCGCCUAGCCUAACUGUAAUUUACUCAGAUGAUCAGGGCAUGAAGCGGAUAAGUUUUAGAAACUCAAAUUGUAGUAUUCUUAUACGUGUUAAAGGUCCUUGUUAGAAACUUCAACGUUACACGAUUAAUCAUUAUAGGAAGAUGCUGGCACGAAGGAAAGAGUAUGUAGAAGCUCGACCUGGAGAAGAGGUUCCACCUGAAGAUGGACUUAGUUGGCGGAAAUAUGGGCAGAAACUUAUCUUAGGUGAAAAAUAUCCCAGGUGAGUACUAUUCUUAAGUUCCUUGACCAAAAAUCUGAGUAUCUAUUUCGUGAAUGAAUUGACCAAAAGGUUGUAUGAUGAUACUAUACUAUCUGCGUGUGGAUUUCACAUAUGGUCAUUGAAUAUUGGAAAUGCAGAGAAUAUUAUCGAUGUCCUCGUCGUUGUUGUGAGGCUACUAAGAUGGUCCAGCGAAUUGAGACAGAGCCAUUAACUUUUGAAGUUACCUAUGGAGGAAGUCACAGUUGUGGUCAAGAAACCAAAAACCAAAAUGAAGAACUAAUUGCUGUGCAGCAGACAAAAUGUGAUGAAGUUGGAAGAGGAGCAGGGCAAAUAUUUGAAUCCUAUAUUCAUAAGAUGGUUUCGACCCCAAAUAAUUCGUAUAACA